CCUACGUGUGGCAGCAGUGGGGAAUAUUGCACAAUGGGGGGAACCCUGAUGCAGCGACGCCGCGUGAAGGAAGAAGUAUUUCGGUAUGUAAACUUCUAUCAGCAGGGAAGAAAAUGACAGUACCUGACUAAGAAGCCCCGGCUAACUACGUGACAGCAGCCGCGGUAAUACGUAGGGGGCAAGCGUUAUCCGGAUUUACUGGGUGUAAAGUGAGCGUAGGCGUGAUUGCAAGUCAGAAGUGAAAGCCCAAGGCUCAACCAUGGGACUGCGUUUGACACUGUACAGCUAGAUUGCAGGAGAGGUAAGUGGAAUUCCUUGUGUAGCGGUGAAAUGCGUAGAUAUUAGGAGGAACCCCAGUGGCGAAGGCGGCUUACUGGACUGUAAAUGACGCUGAGGCUCGAAAGCGUGGGGAGCAAACAGGAUUAGAUACCCGGGUAGUC
This 440-nucleotide ribosomal RNA is filed under the name uncultured bacterium. RNAcentral describes it as "partial 16S ribosomal RNA". It matches the Rfam family "Bacterial small subunit ribosomal RNA", at positions 338 to 795 of the family's 1533-position model. The record is from RNAcentral.